GGGUAGGUGGCAGAGUGGUCAAUUGCACCAGACUGUAAAUCUGGCUCCUUCGGGAUUCGGGGGUUCAAAUCCCUCCCUACCCAC
RNAcentral lists this transfer RNA (84 nucleotides) under Gemmata sp. SH-PL17. RNAcentral describes it as "tRNA-Tyr". It matches the Rfam family "tRNA". From Rfam's summary of the family: Transfer RNA (tRNA) molecules are approximately 80 nucleotides in length. Their secondary structure includes four short double-helical elements and three loops (D, anti-codon, and T loops). Further hydrogen bonds mediate the characteristic L-shaped molecular structure. tRNAs have two regions of fundamental functional importance: the anti-codon, which is responsible for specific mRNA codon recognition, and the 3' end, to which the tRNAs corresponding amino acid is attached (by aminoacyl-tRNA synthetases). tRNAs cope with the degeneracy of the genetic code in two manners: having more than one tRNA (with a specific anti-codon) for a particular amino acid; and 'wobble' base-pairing, i.e. permitting non-standard base-pairing at the 3rd anti-codon position. The record is from RNAcentral. Lineage: Bacteria; Pseudomonadati; Planctomycetota; Planctomycetia; Gemmatales; Gemmataceae.